AUUUUUUUAUCAGUUCCAUGUACAAUUGUGCUAUAGAGUAUACAUAAGAUUUUCUUUGAUUGAAACUGGUUUAGAAUAAAACACUAGUCAACAUUAAUAAGAAAGUAAACUAGAAGCUAACAAACAUCUUGAGUUGAGAGAACUAAAGUUACUUGCAUCUCUCUCAGGGGUAGCUGAUGUCUUUUUCAACGCGGGGUGUAUUCAUGGGAAGUCUCAGUCAGAAGCAAGAAUGACAAUGUCUUCAAAUGCAAAUCACAGAGAGAAGAUAUCAGAACACUUCUACAUGCUGAAUUGAGCCUAAACUAGCACCAGAUGUGUAUUCAUGGCUAGACGACUAAACUCCAAUAGCGAGUGACAGUGUUCAUCAGAGGAAGCCCAAACAUCACAUUGCAAGCAUACCUUACAAGGAAAUGAAUUUAUUGAAUUUGAAGUGACUUAGGCUUCCAAGUGGAUGGUGUGAGAAGUGUAAAAACAAAUCUAGGGGUCAUCCAAUUCAACAAUCUGUGCUCUUUUCUCAGCAGCUUUCUUCUUGAUGAAGAUGCCCCAUCUCAAUGCUGCUUUUAGUUUGAGCCAACCAACAACAGCCUUUCCUGAACGUGUACGGUCCUCAUCAAUACCAAAGCUUGAAGACAUACUGGGCAUGUAUGGUGAUCCAUAUGGGUAAUUAUUAUCUUCUGAGGUACUAGAAGAAGCAUGAUGCUGGCCACCCAUGUUGAAUAUAUGGAGAAGAUGUUGCAUGUCAUCAUUCUCUAACAUUUCUUGACUUCUGGUGCGUAUCUCUUCCUCUGUAUAGAAGUCAUCAGUUCCUUUAUAGGAUGAAUUAGGAGUGUUAGCAGCAAAAAAGCUAGAAAAUGGUGGCUGUGGUGGGUGAAGGGCCGGUCUACUCUCACUUCCAGUUGGCUGAGCUUGUUGUGACAUGCCUACAAAGUGGUUUUGAGAAAAUGAAGCACCACUUAACUGUUCAUUGACACUAAGAUUCGUGUUCUGAGACUCUGUGGUAUAUGUACCCAUUAGACUAUCGUUAUACCCUUCCAAUCCCAUGUUCAAUCCUGAAUUCAUGGGAGGCUGCUCUGAUGAAGUUGAAGCAGGAAGACUUGGCAGAUUGAGUUGAUGAUCAAAUGAAUUAGGAUGGUUCUGAGAACCAGUUGAAAGAUCAUACUGAGGAGCAUCUGAGGUUUUAUUCUGAUCAAGACUUAGAAGAGAUUUGCCAUCAUAUUCAACAACAUGCAUCCAGUUGUCAUAUGCCUUCUUGACUAAGGUGUCCACAUAUUCCUUUUGAUCCUCUGAAAGAGAAUCAACUGAAUGAUACUGUCCACCAGAGAUAAAACCACACAACUCAUAAAUAUUGCUAAAAACAACUCCGAUACUCUUCAUAUCAUCUGGAUAAUAGACAUAGAGCUUCCCACUAAGAACACAGGUCUUAGCAUGCUCCACGAGAGCAUCCCACAUCUUAUUUGACAUUCCACUUCCCAGG
RNAcentral lists this unclassified non-coding RNA (1474 nucleotides) under Hevea brasiliensis (rubber tree). The record is from RNAcentral. Lineage: Eukaryota; Viridiplantae; Streptophyta; Magnoliopsida; Malpighiales; Euphorbiaceae.